RNAcentral lists this ribosomal RNA (36 nucleotides) under Murraya koenigii. Its description in RNAcentral is "partial 26S ribosomal RNA". RNAcentral also lists the same sequence under 1 other name. Lineage: Eukaryota; Viridiplantae; Streptophyta; Magnoliopsida; Sapindales; Rutaceae. The record is from RNAcentral.
CGCGACCCCAGGUCAGGCGGGAUUACCCGCUGAGUU